CCUGGCUCAGGACGAACGCUGGCGGCGUGCUUAACACAUGCAAGUCGAGCGGUAAGGNCNUUUCGGGGUACACGAGCGGCGAACGGGUGAGUAACACGUGGGUGAUCUGCCCUGCACUCUGGGAUAAGCUUGGGAAACUGGGUCUAAUACCGGAUAUGACUACAGCAUGCAUGUGUUGUGGUGGAAAGAUUUAUCGGUGCAGGAUGGGCCCGCGGCCUAUCAGCUUGUUGGUGGGGUAAUGGCCUACCAAGGCGACGACGGGUAGCCGACCUGAGAGGGUGACCGGCCACACUGGGACUGAGACACGGCCCAGACUCCUACGGGAGGCAGCAGUGGGGAAUAUUGCACAAUGGGCGGAAGCCUGAUGCAGCGACGCCGCGUGAGGGAUGAAGGCCUUCGGGUUGUAAACCU
This 411-nucleotide ribosomal RNA is filed under the name Rhodococcus sp. iEIII14. Its description in RNAcentral is "bacterial SSU rRNA". It matches the Rfam family "Bacterial small subunit ribosomal RNA", at positions 18 to 432 of the family's 1533-position model. Lineage: Bacteria; Bacillati; Actinomycetota; Actinomycetes; Mycobacteriales; Nocardiaceae. The record is from RNAcentral.